RNAcentral lists this long non-coding RNA (528 nucleotides) under Prunus dulcis (almond). RNAcentral describes it as "sRNA ncRNA". Lineage: Eukaryota; Viridiplantae; Streptophyta; Magnoliopsida; Rosales; Rosaceae. The record is from RNAcentral.
CACGAAGUCACAAUCGAUACAGAGCCUUUGCAAACAAAAGGAGAAAACCAAAAAGAAAAACUGCCACAACACAUCAAGAGGUUUCAGAUUUUUUUUUUUGUCUUUUUCCUCAUUUUUUCCUCUGCAACACCAAGUUUCUUGUGUCUUUGUUUUUCUUUUCUUCCAAUCUCCAACAAAGCGGCGUUAGCCACCCUCUUCUUUGUUUUGCUUUGACUUUUCUUCUUCUUUUUAUGACUGUAGCAAACCUCUUUUUUUUUUUUUGUUUAUUGUCAUACAUCAUGACAUGUAUAUUGGUUGUUUGCUAAGAAACCAACAGAUGGGGCAUUCAAUGCAUAGGCUGCUCCAACGUGGCCCUUCCCAAGUUCUGCUUCUUUUUUUUCUUUUUUUUUUUCUACACCCAUGUUUUCUUUUGGCUGGCACCAUUCUCUCCCUUUAACCCAGCAACACCCACGAAGCGCUCAGCCACUUUCUUUCCCCUUUUUUUUAGUGGCUGUUUUCCUGCUUUAAUUUUUUUCUGUCUGUUGUGAU